Molecule: RNase P RNA, 334 nt
Filed under: Candidatus Woesebacteria bacterium
Lineage: Bacteria; Candidatus Woeseibacteriota
Description: RNase P RNA component class A
Rfam family: Bacterial RNase P class A
About the family: Ribonuclease P (RNase P) is a ubiquitous endoribonuclease, found in archaea, bacteria and eukarya as well as chloroplasts and mitochondria. Its best characterised activity is the generation of mature 5'-ends of tRNAs by cleaving the 5'-leader elements of precursor-tRNAs.
Source: RNAcentral
CAAGCAAAUCGAUUGAUCGCCCAGAUUCAUUCGCAAGAAUGAUGCGGGAGGAAAGUCCGAACACUUGCGUUGAUGGCCUCUAUAGAGCUAUUAACAGUUGUAGCGGGUAACGCCCGUCGAGGGUAACCUUAGAGAUGCGAACAGUGACGUCCGAGCAGAAAUGCAGAGAUAUCCUUCGGGAUAAAUCGAUACGGAAACGUAUCGGGUGAAACGGCAAAAUUCUUACUUAAGUGCAAUGCCAAAUUAGGUAGGCAGCACCGAGGACUGUGGCAACACAGUUCCCAGAUAGAUGAUCAGUUAGAAACAGAAUUCGGCUUACGAGUUUGCUUGGAGC